RNAcentral lists this ribosomal RNA (305 nucleotides) under uncultured bacterium. RNAcentral's name for it is "bacterial SSU rRNA". It matches the Rfam family "Bacterial small subunit ribosomal RNA", at positions 333 to 656 of the family's 1533-position model. The record is from RNAcentral.
CUAUGCCUACGGGACGCAGCAGUGGGGAAUUUUGCGCAAUGGGGGAAACCCUGACGCAGCAACGCCGCGUGCGGGACGAAGGCCCUCGGGCUGUAAACCGCUUUCAGCAGGGAAGACAUCGACGGUACCUGCAGAAGAAGCUCCGGCUAACUACGUGCCAGCAGCCGCGGUAAUACGUAGGGGGCGCGCGUUAUCCGGAUUCAUUGGGCGUAAAGCGCGCGUAGGCGGCCGCCUAAGCGGAACCUCCAACCCCGGGGCUCAACCUCGUGCCGGGUUCCGGACUGGGCGGCUCGCGUGCGGGAUCG